UUAUGAUCAUAGCUACAGUCAGCAGACAAUAAGCUAUGGACAAAACAUUCCUACUCCAACACAAGAACAACAGACGACAUAUGGAAAUUCAAGUUAUGGGUAUGCUACUGUAUCAUCUCAACCAGAUGGGGCAGUUUCCUCCCAAUCAACUCGAGUGGCACCACCUGCAUAUCCACCUACUGCUUAUAGUCAAUCAGUGGCCAAUCCUCAAACAUACUGGAAUUCUUCAAGCUACACUGGACAGCAACCACAAAUGGUGUAUGAUCAAACAGGGUACUCCCAAACUUAUGGAGGGCAAACUGCUUAUGGAGGGAUGCAACCAGGCCAAGUCCCUCCCCCAUCAACUUGGCCAAUUUAUGGACAAGGCGGAUAUCCUCUUCCGGAAUCUGCUGCAGCAGCAAAUUAUGUUCAGGAGACACAACCCCAGUCACAGCCAUCAAACAAUGGUCAUU
RNAcentral lists this unclassified non-coding RNA (452 nucleotides) under Hevea brasiliensis (rubber tree). Lineage: Eukaryota; Viridiplantae; Streptophyta; Magnoliopsida; Malpighiales; Euphorbiaceae. The record is from RNAcentral.